CAAUAGCGUAUAUUAACGUUGUUGCAGUUAAAAAGCUCGUAGUUGGAUUUCUGGAGGGAGCGUCGGCCCGUAUUUACGAGUGCGUGACGUCUCUGUCCAUCCUUGCGGGAAGACACGGCAUUGAUUUGUUGUGUCGGAUCGCAUCAUUUACUGUGAAAAAAUUAGAGUGUUCAAAGCAGGCUUUCGCUUGAAUACAUUAGCAUGGAAUAAUAAGAUAGGACUUUGGUGCUAUUUUGUUGGUUGAGCCUAAAGUAAUGAUUAAUAGGGAUAGUUGGGGGCACCUGUAUUGCGUUGUCAGAGGUGAAAUUCUUGGAUUUACGCAAGACAAACAGCUGCGAAAGCGUCUGCCAAGGAUGUUUNCAUUAA
This 366-nucleotide ribosomal RNA is filed under the name uncultured eukaryote. Its description in RNAcentral is "partial 18S ribosomal RNA". It matches the Rfam family "Eukaryotic small subunit ribosomal RNA", at positions 592 to 976 of the family's 1831-position model. The record is from RNAcentral.